This 73-nucleotide transfer RNA is filed under the name Pyrinomonadaceae bacterium. Its description in RNAcentral is "tRNA-Ile". It matches the Rfam family "tRNA". From Rfam's summary of the family: Transfer RNA (tRNA) molecules are approximately 80 nucleotides in length. Their secondary structure includes four short double-helical elements and three loops (D, anti-codon, and T loops). The record is from RNAcentral. Lineage: Bacteria; Pseudomonadati; Acidobacteriota; Blastocatellia; Blastocatellales; Pyrinomonadaceae.
GCCCCUGUAGCUCAAUGGUUAGAGCAGCAGACUCAUAAUCUGUUGGUUAUAGGUUCAAAUCCUAUUGGGGGCA